RNAcentral lists this ribosomal RNA (626 nucleotides) under uncultured bacterium. RNAcentral describes it as "bacterial SSU rRNA". The stretch from base 1 to 537 matches the Rfam family "Bacterial small subunit ribosomal RNA", at positions 338 to 873 of the family's 1533-position model. The record is from RNAcentral.
CCUACGGGAGGCAGCAGUGGGGAAUUUUGGACAAUGGGCGCAAGCCUGAUCCAGCAAUGCCGCGUGAGUGAAGAAGGCCUUCGGGUUGUAAAGCUCUUUUGUCAGGGAAGAAACGGAUUUUCUAAUACAGAGAUCUAAUGACGGUACCUGAAGAAUAAGCACCGGCUAACUACGUGCCAGCAGCCGCGGUAAUACGUAGGGUGCAAGCGUUAAUCGGAAUUACUGGGCGUAAAGCGUGCGCAGGCGGUUUUGUAAGUUUGUCGUGAAAUCCCCGGGCUCAACCUGGGAAUGGCGAUGAAGACUGCAAGGCUAGAGUUUGGCAGAGGGGGGUAGAAUUCCACGUGUAGCAGUGAAAUGCGUAGAUAUGUGGAGGAACACCGAUGGCGAAGGCAGCCCCCUGGGUCAAAACUGACGCUCAUGCACGAAAGCGUGGGGAGCAAACAGGAUUAGAUACCCUGGUAGUCCACGCCCUAAACGAUGUCUACUAGUUGUCGGGUCUUAAAUUGAUGUACGACAGCUACGCGNGAGUAGACCGCCGCGGGAGGUACGGUCGUCGAGAAGUUAAACUUAACGUAAAGAAAGUUAGUAGGCGNGAGGACGACGGCGACGACGACGGAGAGGAGGAG